This 253-nucleotide ribosomal RNA is filed under the name uncultured bacterium. Its description in RNAcentral is "partial 16S ribosomal RNA". It matches the Rfam family "Bacterial small subunit ribosomal RNA", at positions 524 to 776 of the family's 1533-position model. The record is from RNAcentral.
UACGUAGGUGGCAAGCGUUAUCCGGAAUUAUUGGGCGUAAAGAGCGCGCAGGUAGUUAAUUAAGUCUGAUGUGAAAGCCCACGGCUUAACCGUGGAGGGUCAUUGGAAACUGGUUGACUUGGGUGCAGAAGAGGGAAGUGGAAUUCCAUGUGUAGCGGUGAAAUGCGUAGAGAUAUGGAGGAACACCAGUGGCGAAGGCGGCUUCCUGGUCUGCAACUGACACUGAGGCGCGAGAGCGUGGGGAGCAAACAGG